ACUCCUACGGGAGGCAGCAGUGAGGGAUAUUCGGCAAUGGGGGAAACCCUGACCGAGCAAUGCCGCGUGAGGGAUGACGGUUUUCGGAUUGUAAACCUCUGUCCUCUGUGAAGAUAAUGACGGUAGCAGAGGAGGAAGCUCCGGCUAACUACGUGCCAGCAGCCGCGGUAAU
RNAcentral lists this ribosomal RNA (172 nucleotides) under uncultured bacterium. RNAcentral describes it as "partial 16S ribosomal RNA". It matches the Rfam family "Bacterial small subunit ribosomal RNA", at positions 335 to 524 of the family's 1533-position model. The record is from RNAcentral.